AAUUUAUUAACCGUAAUACAGGUUUGUUCAAGUCUACUCCGACUUGUCAAACGUUGGACUGCGUGACGUAUAGUCCCUACUUGUGUAACACACAGUAACACAUCCACUUGUGUGAAAUGUGUCCAUACACUAAGGUACACCGUCGUGCUAGCAUUGUGUGACCUCACAGUCACCCCCUUCCAACCCACGACCUCAGAUCAGGCAAGAUUACCCGCUUAACUUAAGCAUAUCAGUCAGCGGAGGAAAAGAAAACAAACGUGAUUCCCUUAGUAACGGCGAGUGAAAAGGGA
RNAcentral lists this unclassified non-coding RNA (290 nucleotides) under uncultured soil eukaryote. RNAcentral describes it as "sequence contains ITS2, 28S rRNA gene". The stretch from base 188 to 290 matches the Rfam family "Eukaryotic large subunit ribosomal RNA", at positions 1 to 103 of the family's 3401-position model. The record is from RNAcentral.